Molecule: transfer RNA, 86 nt
Filed under: Deltaproteobacteria bacterium
Lineage: Bacteria; Pseudomonadati; Myxococcota; Myxococcia
Description: tRNA-Leu
Rfam family: tRNA
About the family: Transfer RNA (tRNA) molecules are approximately 80 nucleotides in length.
Source: RNAcentral
GCGAGAGUGGCGAAACGGGUAUACGCACUAGAUUUAGGAUCUAGCCCGCAAUGCGGUUGGGGGUUCGAGUCCCCCCUCUCGCACCA